GAAACAAUGUUUUUCAUAAUGACGGUAGAUUGAAGUAGAUUUUAUUCUCCUCCAUCCUUGCUUUAUCUACUCUGUUCUGUGUGGGGGUAACAUACAGGUCCUUUUGCUUUCUUCGGGGAUGAUACAGCCACCUGGCCAAAACUGAUCAAACCCCUGCUUCUGUGGGAGGAAGACCCCCAAGAACCAUCAGAGACCAAAGGCUGGAGUGCAGUGAUGCAAUCUCGGCUGACCUCCCAGGAUCACCUCCACCUCCCAGGAUCAAGCGAUUCUCCUGCCUCAGCCUCCUGAGUAGCUGGGAUUACAAGCAUGUGCCACCAUGUCUGGCUAAUUUUUAUAUUUUUAGUAGAGACAGGGUUUCACCAUGUUGGUCAGGCUGGUCUCAAACUCCUGGCCUCAAGUGAUCCGCCUGCCUCGGCCUCCCAAAGUGCUGGGAUUACAGGCGUGAGCCACUGUGCCCGGUCAAGUUCCUUCUUCUGAUAAGGACUCCAUUCACCGGGCUAGGGCCCUUCCUACUCCAGUGUAUCCUCAUCUAACUAAUUACAUCUGCAAUGAUGCUAUUUCCAAAUAAAGUGAUGUUUGCAGUUA
Molecule: long non-coding RNA, 585 nt
Organism: Homo sapiens (human)
Lineage: Eukaryota; Metazoa; Chordata; Mammalia; Primates; Hominidae
Source: Ensembl